This is a non-coding RNA of Gossypium raimondii (Peruvian cotton), 144 nucleotides long. The record is from Rfam. NCBI's taxonomy places the organism in Eukaryota, Viridiplantae, Streptophyta, Magnoliopsida, Malvales, Malvaceae.
UGUUAAAAAUUAUAUUCAUUUCUAAUGUUAAAAACUAGUGUGGUUAAUAAAAUAAUUAAAUAGUUAUACGAGAUAUACCGCAUGUAUCUCAUGAUGACAUACAAUAACUAAUUUUUAACCGUAAAUAUGAUGAAAUUCUUAAUA